GGGACUGAGACACGGCCCAGACUCCUACGGGAGGCAGCAGUGGGGAAUAUUGGGCAAUGGACGCAAGUCUGACCCAGCGACGCCGCGUGCGGGAUGAAGGCCUUCGGGUUGUAAACCGCUUUCAGCAGGGAAGAAGCGAAAGUGACGGUACCUGCAAAAGAAGCACCGGCUAACUAUGUGCCAGCAGCCGCGGUAAUACAUAGGGUGCAAGCGUUGUCCGGAAUUAUUGGGCGUAAAGAGCUCGUAGGUGGUUAGUUACGUCGGGUGUGAAACUCUGGGGCUCAACCCCAGACCUGCACUCGAUACGGGCUAGCUAGAGUUUGGUAGGGGAGAC
Molecule: ribosomal RNA, 334 nt
Filed under: uncultured Actinomycetes bacterium
Lineage: Bacteria; Bacillati; Actinomycetota; Actinomycetes
Description: bacterial SSU rRNA
Rfam family: Bacterial small subunit ribosomal RNA
Source: RNAcentral